Folsomia candida is the source of this 96-nucleotide small nuclear RNA. It matches the Rfam family "U2 spliceosomal RNA". From Rfam's summary of the family: U2 is a small nuclear RNA (snRNA) component of the spliceosome (involved in pre-mRNA splicing). Complementary binding between U2 snRNA (in an area lying towards the 5' end but 3' to hairpin I) and the branchpoint sequence (BPS) of the intron results the bulging out of an unpaired adenosine, on the BPS, which initiates a nucleophilic attack at the intronic 5' splice site, thus starting the first of two transesterification reactions that mediate splicing. The record is from Rfam. NCBI's taxonomy places the organism in Eukaryota, Metazoa, Arthropoda, Collembola, Entomobryomorpha, Isotomidae.
AUUGCUUCUUGGCUUUUGGCUAAGAUCAAAGUGUAGUAUCUGUUCUUAUCACCUUAAUAUACAUUUUACAUAAGUGAAUUUAUUUCAGGACUCCGA